AGGAAAUGAAAAUUAAGGGAGCGUGCAAAUCAUGUAACGAUUCAUUUGAGUUGAUCUCGAUCAUAAACUUUAAUGUCUAGAUUAAAUCAAAAGGACUCUCUUCUUCAUAUGAGAUGUGUCAUCAAUUAUUUCACCAUCCUUGUAACACACAAUUGUAAGCAAACUAUCCAUUGAUGUACCUAAAAAAAAUCAAAUAAAAGAUAUAUAAGACUGAUCCUUGUAACACACAAUUGUAAGCAAACUAUCCAUUUAUGUACCUAAAAAGAAUCAAAUAAAAUAUAUAUAAGAUUGAAUCAAAUUUGGGGGGAUUCGAACCCCCAACAAAAGGUUCAACAUGUAUCCCAGCUCCACUAGGACAAACUUGCCCCAUGACAUAUAAUAUGCACUAAAGAAAUAUAUAUCAAAAGUUAGAAUAUAAAUACAAUAUUAAAAAAACACUUUAAAUAACAAAUUAAUUAUAACUAUUUUAUAAUUGAAUGAAAAAUUUUCAUAUAAUUGAUUAGUAAAAAUAUAUCAUAAGUUUAUUCAUAGUGUUUUUAAUAUUAUUAAUAUAUUAAAAUUUUAUAUAUUUACCAUCAUUUAUUUUAUAAUAUAUCAUAAUUUUUUUAAAUAGAUUUUAAAAUUAAACAUGUUAUAAUCACAUUUCACAAUAUUAUCAUCAAAUAAUAUUUUAUAUAAUCAAUGUACACUUAUCAAAUUUAUAAUUUUUUAUUAAAAUGUAGGAGUUUUUUUUUGCCACUUGGGGGGAUUCGAACCCCUAACAAAAGGUUCAACAUGUAUCCCAGCUCCACUAGGACAAACUUGUCCCAUGAUAAAUGAUACGCACUAAAGAAAUAUAUAUCAAAAGUUAGAAUAUAAAUACAAUAUUAAAAAAACACUUGAAAUAACAAAUUAAUUAUAACUAUUUUAUAAUUGAAUGAAAAAUUUUCAUUUAAUUGAUUAGUAAAAAUAUAUCAUAAUUUUAUUCAUAGUGUUUUUAAUAUUAUUAAUAUAUUAAAAUUUUAUAUAUUUACCAUCCUUUAUUUUAUAAUAUAACACAAUUUUUUUAAAUAGAUUUUAAAAUUAAACAUGUUAUAAUCACAUUUCACAAUAUUAUCAUCAAAUAAUAUUUUAUAUAAUCAAUGUACACUUAUCAAAUUUAUAAUUUUUAUUAAAAUGUAGGAGUUUUUUUUUGCCACUUGGGGGGAUUCGAACCCCCAACAAAAGGUUCAACAUGUAUCCCAGCUCCACUAGGACAAACUUGUCCCAUGAUAAAUGAUAUGCACUAAAGAAAUAUAUAUCAAAAGUUAGAAUAUAAAUACAAUAUUAAAAAAACACUUUAAAUAACAAAUUAAUUAUAACUAUUUUAUAAUUGAAUGAAAAAUUUUCAUUUAAUUGAUUAGUAAAAAUAUAUCAUAAUUUUAUUCAUAGUGUUUUUAAUAUUAUUAAUAUAUUAAAAUUUUAUAUAUUUACCAUCCUUUAUUUUAUAAUAUAACACAAUUUUUUUAAAUAGAUUUUAAAAUUAAACAUGUUAUAAUCACAUUUCACAAUAUUAUCAUCAAAUAAUAUUUUAUAUAAUCAAUGUACACUUAUCAAAUUUAUAAUUUUUAUUAAAAUGUACAUACACAAUUGAGUUUUUUUUUGCCACUUGGGGGGAUUCGAACCCCCAACAAAAGGUUCAACAUGCAUCCUCAAACUCCACUAGGGCAAACUUGCCCCAUGACAUAUAAUAUGCACUAAAGAAAUAUAUAUCAAAAGUUAGAAUAUAAAUAUAAUAUUAAAAAAACACUUUAAAUAAAAAAUUAAUUAUAACUAUUUUAUAAUUGAAUGAAAAAUUUUCAUUUAUUGAUUAGGAAAAAUAUAUCAUAAUUUUAUUCAUAGUGUUUUUAAUAUUAUUAAUAUAUUAAAAUUUUAUAUAUUUAUCAUCAUUUAUUUUAUAAUAUAUCAUAAUUUUUUUAAAUAAAUUUUAAAAUUAAACAUGUUAUAAUCACAUUUCACAAUAUUAUCAUCAAAUAAUAUUUUAUAUAAUCAAUGUACACUUAUCAAAUUUAUAGUUUUUAUGCAUACAAAAUUGAACUUUUUUUUUUUGCCACUGUUGGGGGAUUCGAACCCCAACAAAAGGUUCAACAAGUAUCCCAACUCCACUAGGACAAACUUGUCCCAUGAUAAAUGAUAUGCACUAAAGAAAUAUAUAUCAAAAGUUAGGAUAUAAAUACAAUAUUAAAAAAAACACUUUAAAUAACAAAUUAAUUAUAACUAUUUUAUAAUUGAAUGAAAAAUUUUCAAUUAGUAAAAAUAUAUCAUAAUUUUAUUCAUCGUGUUUUUAAUAUUAUUAAUAUAUCAAAAAUUUAUCCAAACAUGUAACUGAUUCUGUUUACCUUGAAGUUUAGUCUAAUUUUCACUAUAUUCGUAUGGAUAUCAAUCUAACCAGAUAAAAACAAAUUCAAUCUUAUCCAAAUCUAAACUGUAUCAUAGAUACCCACACCACUUUAUUCCUUCAACUGGACAACCAAGGAUUCGUAUAGAAAUAAAGAUAAAAAAUGAAUAAAUUAUUAAAUAAGACAACCAAGGAUUUGUAUAGAAAUAAAAAUAUUUCUUCAACUGAGGUAUGUAGAUUGCCUAUUAAAGAUCAACAUACCUUAUUGCAAGAGUUGAGAGCAAUGAAACAAAUAAAAAUAUUUCUUAUUUAUUUUUAAUUUUAACAAAUAAAAAGUGAAGAAUCUCCUUGAAUUUAAAUUUGAAUUUGAAUUUCAAUUUCAAUUAUUGCAGGUACUAAUCUAAUCAGGUUAUUAUUUUUUUAUUUUGUUGCAACCCCCGUUUGAUUCCCAAGUUUUUGCAAUCCCCGUUUGAUUCCCAAGAAAAUCCAUCCUCCAUUCGCUUUUCGGGAAAAUUCAUCCUUCUUUGAUUUUCGAGAAAGUCCAUGCAAAACCCCCUAGAAAAACAAACAAAAAAAUGCUUUUUAUUUUUGCUCCAUGCUUUCUGGAUCGAGUCUCUUUGCUUUUGUGCCAUUGGAUUUAAAUUUCACAAACCCUAAAUCCACGAUUUUUGAGCCACGCUGAAAAACACAACCUUUCCCCUCAAAUCAUGAUCAGAUUACCAAAUAGCUUAUGUUUUUUUAUAAAAAAAAAUUGGACAGAUUUUGUAUCCUGUGCGUGGGCUGGACUGGUAGGAAAUAUUGGGGAAUUUGUUUUUCCAACUUUCCCACACUUUCUUGGCAACCAAACAAAAUCACAACAAGUCGAACCACAAAAAAAAUUAAAACUUUUUCCAUUAUUUUUAGUCUACUUGGUUUCAUUGUAAAAAAAAACGAAAACUUUAUUUUUUUUACAACUUUCCCACACUUUCUCGGUGACCAAACACAACCACACCACCAAAUAUAACCACAAAACUUACAGAAAACACCGGGGGCAAUGGUUUCUCAGAUCUGCACUUCACUUCCUUCCUAUUGGUGUUGAGACAAGGAUCUCCACCCCAUGAUCAGCGUGCGGGAUAAUGGGUUUUCGGGCAGAGGAGUUUUGAUGCAGAGAAGAAACACGGGAAGGG
RNAcentral lists this long non-coding RNA (3522 nucleotides) under Vitis vinifera (wine grape). RNAcentral's name for it is "long non-coding RNA (VVIN_LNC007046)". The record is from RNAcentral. Lineage: Eukaryota; Viridiplantae; Streptophyta; Magnoliopsida; Vitales; Vitaceae.